RNAcentral lists this ribosomal RNA (640 nucleotides) under Lunella sp. SW Pacific A. RNAcentral describes it as "partial 12S ribosomal RNA". The record is from RNAcentral. Lineage: Eukaryota; Metazoa; Mollusca; Gastropoda; Trochida; Turbinidae.
UACAAACUAGAUCAAAUUAAGAUAAGCACAGUAAAAAGGGGGUUAGGGAACAACUAAUUAAUUAAUCAUAAUUACCAUUGACUAAAAGAUUACACGUUCUGUAGAGGUGGAAUUUGUGCAGAGCAAAUAAUUUAUUGUUUUUUCUCUCCUGAAGCCCCGAAACCUUAAUUAAAAACCGGGAUUAGAUACCCCGCUAUUUAAGACAUAAAUUUUAAUUUUUUUUUAAAUUUUACUAGAGUAUUACGGGUCCUAUAAAUUUAAUAUUUACAUUACCAACUUAAAACUCAAAAAACUUGGCGGUGCCUUAUAUCCUCUCAGGGGAACCUGUCCUGUAAUCGAUAGCCCACGAUUCACCUUUCCUUUGUUUGAAUUUAAACAGUUUGUAUACCGUCGUCGCCAGAUUACCUCCUAGAGUAAAAAAGUUAUCUAUAAGAAAAAUAUUAAUGAAAUAUUACAAAAAUAAUUUAAUAGCAUUAAUACUAUCUAAACGUCAGAUCAAGGUGCAGCUAAUACAGAGGAAGAGAUGGGUUACAAUAAAAAAUUCUUAAACGAAUAGCUUCUUGUAAUGCAAGCUUGAAGGAGGACUUGAAAGUAAUUAAGAGAAAUAGAGAGUCUCGGUGAACAUGGCCCUAAGGCGUGC